RNAcentral lists this ribosomal RNA (253 nucleotides) under uncultured bacterium. RNAcentral describes it as "partial 16S ribosomal RNA". It matches the Rfam family "Bacterial small subunit ribosomal RNA", at positions 524 to 776 of the family's 1533-position model. The record is from RNAcentral.
UACGUAGGGACCGAGCGUUGUCCGGAAUCAUUGGGCGUAAAGAGCGCGCAGGCGGUCGUUCAAGUCGCGUGUGAAAGCCCCCGGCUCAACUGGGGAGGGUCACGCGAUACUGAUCGACUCGAAGGCAGGAGAGGGAAGUGGAAUUCCCGGUGUAGUGGUGAAAUGCGUAGAUAUCGGGAGGAACACCAGUGGCGAAGGCGACUUCCUGGCCUGUUCUUGACGCUGAGGCGCGAAAGCUAGGGGAGCAAACAGG